AAUCAACGCUGGCGGCGUGCCUCAGACAUGCAAGUCGAACGAUUAAAGCUCUCUUCGGAGAGUGUAUAGAGUGGCGCACGGGUGAGUAACACGUAAGUAAUCUACCCUCGAGUGGGGAAUAACAACCGGAAACGGUUGCUAAUACCGCAUAAUGCAGCGGCACCGCAAGGUGACAGUUGUUAAAGAUUUAUCGCUUGAGGAGGAGCUUGCGGCAGAUUAGCUAGUUGGUAGGGUAACGGCUUACCAAGGCUACGAUCUGUAACCGGUCUAAGAGGACGGUCGGUCACACUGACACUGAAUAACGGGUCAGACUCCUACGGGAGGUAGCAGUCGGGAAUUUUGGGCAAUGGGCGAAAGCCUGACCCAGCAACGCCGCGUGAAGGAUGAAGUAUUUCGGUAUGUAAACUUCGAAAGAAUAGGAAGAAUUAAUGACGGUACUAUUUAUAAGGUCCGGCUAACUACGUG
RNAcentral lists this ribosomal RNA (465 nucleotides) under uncultured bacterium. Its description in RNAcentral is "bacterial SSU rRNA". It matches the Rfam family "Bacterial small subunit ribosomal RNA", at positions 32 to 507 of the family's 1533-position model. The record is from RNAcentral.